GAUGAAGAACGUAGCGAAAUGCGAUAAGUAAUGUGAAUUGCAGAAUUCAGUGAAUCAUCGAAUCUUUGAACGCACAUUGCGCCCGCCAGUAUUCUGGCGGGCAUGCCUGUUCGAGCGUCAUUUCAACCAUCAAGCCCCCCGGCUUGUGUUGGGGACCUGCGGCUGCCGCAGGCCCUGAAAAGCAGUGGCGGGCUCGCUGUCACACCGAGCGUAGUAGCAUACAUUUCGCUCUGGGCGUGCUGCGGGUUCCGGCCGUUAAACCACCUUCAUAACCCAAGGUUGACCUCGGAUCAGGUAGGAAGACCCGCUGAACUUAAGCAUAUCAAUAAGCGGAGGA
This 337-nucleotide unclassified non-coding RNA is filed under the name soil metagenome. RNAcentral's name for it is "partial contains 5.8S ribosomal RNA, internal transcribed spacer 2, and large subunit ribosomal RNA". The stretch from base 1 to 120 matches the Rfam family "5.8S ribosomal RNA", at positions 35 to 154 of the family's 154-position model. The record is from RNAcentral.